This 69-nucleotide transfer RNA is filed under the name Sphaerodactylus townsendi. RNAcentral's name for it is "tRNA-Ala". The record is from RNAcentral. Lineage: Eukaryota; Metazoa; Chordata; Lepidosauria; Squamata; Sphaerodactylidae.
UCUGUGGCUUAGUGGCAUAACGUUUGCUUGGCAUGUAGAAGGUUCCAGGUUCAAUUCUGGGCAUCUCAG